RNAcentral lists this unclassified non-coding RNA (216 nucleotides) under Hevea brasiliensis (rubber tree). Lineage: Eukaryota; Viridiplantae; Streptophyta; Magnoliopsida; Malpighiales; Euphorbiaceae. The record is from RNAcentral.
GAUGUCUGAUGAAAUGGAAAGGAGUUCGUAAAAAUAGUGGGAAAAGUUGGGUUGAAGUGGGUAAUGUCGUUCACCAGUUCAAGGCAGGUGACCGGUCACACCCUGAAGCUGAACUAAUAUAUAAAACUUUGAAGAAAUUAAUUCAUCAAACCAAAUUGGAAGGAUUUAGUUCCACGACUGAGUUGGUUUUGAUGGAUAUUUCUGAUGAGGAAAAGG